UACGAAGGGUCCAAGCGUUGUUCGGAAUCAUUGGGCGUAAAGCGCGCGCAGGCGGAUCAGCAAGUCAGGUGUGAAAUCUCGGGGCUCAACCCCGAAACUGCGCCUGAAACUGCUAGUCUAGAAUAUCGGAGGGGGCAGGGGAAUUUCACGUGUAGGGGUAAAAUCCGUAGAGAUGUGAAGGAACACCGGGGGCGAAGGCGCCUGCCUGGACGAUUAUUGACGCUGAGGCGCGAAAGCGUGGGGAGCAAACAGG
RNAcentral lists this ribosomal RNA (253 nucleotides) under uncultured bacterium. Its description in RNAcentral is "partial 16S ribosomal RNA". It matches the Rfam family "Bacterial small subunit ribosomal RNA", at positions 524 to 776 of the family's 1533-position model. The record is from RNAcentral.